AACGCGAAGAACCUUACCAAGGCUUGACACCCCCUUGACCAGUGCAGAGAUGCACUCUUCUCUUCGGAGACAAGGGUGACAGGUGGUGCAUGGUUGUCGUCAGCUCGUGUCGUGAGAUGUUGGGUUAAGUCUCGCAGCGAGCGCAACCCUUAUCCUUAGUUGCCAGCAGGUAAAGCUGGGCACUCUAAGGAGACUGCCGAUGAUAAAUCGGAGGAAGGUGGGGAUGACGUCAAAUCAUCAUGCCCCUUAUGUCUUGGGCUACACGCGUGCUACAAUGGUCGGUACAAAGGGAAGCGAAGUAGAGAUAUGGAGCAAAUCCCAAUAAACCGAUCCCAGUUCGGAUUGUAGGCUGCAACUCGCCUACAUGAAGUCGGAGUUGCUAGUAAUCGCGAAUCAGAACGUCGCGGUGAAUGCGUUCCCGGGUCUUGUACACACCG
This 437-nucleotide ribosomal RNA is filed under the name uncultured bacterium. RNAcentral describes it as "bacterial SSU rRNA". It matches the Rfam family "Bacterial small subunit ribosomal RNA", at positions 958 to 1392 of the family's 1533-position model. The record is from RNAcentral.